GACGAACCGUGCGAACGUUAUUCGGAAUCAUUGGGCUUAAAGGGCGCGUAGACGGAUGACCGCGUCGAGUGCUGAAAGCCCCCGGCUCAACCGGGGAACGGGCCUCGAAACGGGUCGUCUCGAGUGGAGGAGGGGGACCCGGAACGUCCGGUGGAGCGGUGAAAUGCGUUGAGAUCGGACGGAACGCCGACGGCGAAAGCAGGGUCCUGGACUCGUACUGACGUUGAGGCGCGAAAGCCAGGGGA
Molecule: ribosomal RNA, 245 nt
Filed under: uncultured bacterium
Lineage: Bacteria
Description: partial 16S ribosomal RNA
Rfam family: Bacterial small subunit ribosomal RNA
Source: RNAcentral